Molecule: ribosomal RNA, 347 nt
Filed under: uncultured bacterium
Lineage: Bacteria
Description: bacterial SSU rRNA
Rfam family: Bacterial small subunit ribosomal RNA
Source: RNAcentral
UACCGCAUACCGCCCGUACGGGGAAAGGCCGGGGAUCUUCGGACCUGGCGCUAGUAGAUGAGCCCGCGUGAGAUUAGCUUGUUGGUGGGGUAAUGGCCUACCAAGGCAACGAUCUCUAGCUGGUCUGAGAGGACGAUCAGCCACACUGGGACUGAGACACGGCCCAGACUCCUACGGGAGGCAGCAGUGGGGAAUAUUGGACAAUGGGCGAAAGCCUGAUCCAGCAAUGCCGCGUGUGUGAAGAAGGCCUGAGGGUUGUAAAGCACUUUCAAUCGUGAAGAAAAGUUGCAGGCUAAUACCCUGUGACCUUGACGUUAACGAUACAAGAAGCACCGGCUAACUCCGUG